CACAGAGUUGAGAAGAUCAAGGAAGAGAAAUGCGGCAUUGGAUAGUGACAACAAACAAGAAGAUGAUGGAGACAAGGAAUUGGAGAACAAGCUUUUUGCAGAGAAAAUCUCCCCAGAAAACUUCGAAAGACCUUCCUGGAAUUGUAAAUUCUCUCAAAGAUGUAUUGGAGGGCAUGAGAAGAAACUCAUCUUACAGCUCAAGUUCAAGCCUGAGUUCCAGUGAAUUGUUCUUCUGCAUCAUCAGAAAGGAUGGUGCUUGCUGAUUCGGAUAUUACAGUGUCAAAGAGGAUGUAUGAGAGACUGAAUAAAUCAAGAGUUUCACUUUUCACCCAAGAACUGGCCACAGUAAUCUUUGGUAAAGAAACUCUUGCAAGAUGUACUCUUACAGGAAAAUCUGGCAAUGAAACCCGUAAGGGCCAGUUGGACGCUCACAAGGUCAAUGUGCUCAUAGACGCUGUAAAAAAAAAAAAAUCCAAACACCACAGGGUCUCAGGUGCGAUCUGUCAUCUGCAGUAAAUGCAACAAGGCUUACUCGAUAAAAAAAAAUUCCCUCCACUGUAAGGAUACAGUGAAGUAUCAGGUCUAUGUUUGGUUUGUUUUUUGUCACACUUGUGUUUCCUUGUUUGCAUUUUACUUCACACUGUUGUACAAUGGUAAGUGUCAAUUGAAAAAGUUGAAUGUUGAAAAGUUUUCAAGCAU
This is a long non-coding RNA of Danio aesculapii, 699 nucleotides long. RefSeq lists it as uncharacterized. Lineage: Eukaryota; Metazoa; Chordata; Actinopteri; Cypriniformes; Danionidae. The transcript has 5 exons. The record is from RefSeq and is a predicted model, not a curated record.